Molecule: ribosomal RNA, 497 nt
Filed under: uncultured bacterium
Lineage: Bacteria
Description: partial 16S ribosomal RNA
Rfam family: Bacterial small subunit ribosomal RNA
Source: RNAcentral
GAUGAACGCUGGCGGCGUGCCUAAUACAUGCAAGUCGAGCGAACGGACGAGAAGCUUGCUCCUCUGAUGUUAGAGGCGGACGGGUGAGUAACACGUGGAUAACCUACCUAUAAGACUGGGAUCACUUCGGGAAACCGGAGCUAAUACCGGAUAAUAUUUUGAACCGCAUGGUUCCAAAGUGAAAGACGGUCUUGCUGUCACUUAUAGAUGGAUCCGCGCUGCAUUAGCUAGUUGGUAAGGUAACGGCUUACCAAGGCAACGAUGCAUAGACGACCUGAGAGGGUGAUCGGCCACACUGGAACUGAGACACGGCCCAGACUCCGACGGGAGGCAGCAGUAGGGAAUCUUCCGCAAUGCGCGAAAGCCGGACGGAGCAACGCCGCGUGAGUCAUGAAGGUCUUAGGAUCGUAAAACUCUGUUAUUAGGGGAGAACAUAUGUGUAAGUAACUGUGCACAUCUUGACGGUACCUGAUCAGAAAGCCACGGCUAACUACGUG